CCAAACGCCGGCCAGACCUUAGGGAUCGAAACCGGCACCGUGCCGAGGCGAACAAUCCGUUGCUCACCUCUGGCGCAACAGCUGCCUAAUCUGUGGUGGAAAAGGCAGCAACCCAAGGCAUCCGUGCCUUGAAAGCGCGGUAAAGGGAGGCGGUUUAGCAUGUGGUGUGCCCGCCGACCUCUAUCGCGACC
Molecule: unclassified non-coding RNA, 191 nt
Filed under: Pseudomonas synxantha
Lineage: Bacteria; Pseudomonadati; Pseudomonadota; Gammaproteobacteria; Pseudomonadales; Pseudomonadaceae
Source: RNAcentral